GGUCGUAGACCCGAAACCAGGUGAUCUACCCUUGGUCAGGUUGAAGUUCAGGUAACACUGAAUGGAGGACCGAACCGACUUACGUUGAAAAGUGAGCGGAUGAACUGAGGGUAGCGGAGAAAUUCCAAUCGAACCUGGAGAUAGCUGGUUCUCUCCGAAAUAGCUUUAGGGCUAGCCUCAAGUGAUGAUUAUUGGAGGUAGAGCACUGUUUGGACGAGGGGCCCCUCUCGGGUUACCGAAUUCAGACAAACUCCGAAUGCCAAUUAAUUUAACUUGGGAGUCAGAACAUGGGUGAUAAGGUCCGUGUUCGAAAGGGAAACAGCCCAGACCACCAGCUAAGGUCCCAAAAUAUAUGUUAAGUGGAAAAGGAUGUGGCGUUGCCCAGACAACUAGGAUGUUGGCUUAGAAGCAGCCAUCAUUUAAAGAGUGCGUAAUAGCUCACUAGUCGAGUGACACUGCGCCGAAAAUGUACCGGGGCUAAACAUAUUACCGAAGCUGUGGAUUGUCCUUUGGACAAUGGUAGGAGAGCGUUCUAAGGGCGUUGAAGCAUGAUCGUAA
This 558-nucleotide ribosomal RNA is filed under the name Staphylococcus aureus. RNAcentral describes it as "partial 23S ribosomal RNA". It matches the Rfam family "Bacterial large subunit ribosomal RNA", at positions 705 to 1266 of the family's 2925-position model. The record is from RNAcentral. Lineage: Bacteria; Bacillati; Bacillota; Bacilli; Caryophanales; Staphylococcaceae.